AGUCUUUCUGCCCAUUGAUUUUAAAAGGCUGCGGUAUUUUAACUGUACAAAGGUAGCAAAAUAAAUAGUUUUUUAAUUGAAAACUAGAAUGAAAGAGUUGAUAAAAUAAAAGUUGUCUCAAUAAUUGAAUUUAAAUUAAAAGUAAAAAUUCUUUUAUUUUUUUAUUAGACGAUAAGACCCUAAGAAUUUUAUUAAUAAAUUUAUAUUAAAAUUUAUAAAUAAAUUUAUUAAGUUUGUUGGGAGGAUAAUUAAAUUAAACUUUAAUUUAAAUUAAAAUAAUUAAUUAAAUUUAAUGAUUAUUAUUAUAAUUAUAAGAAUUAAUUACCUUAGGGAUAACAGCGUAAUAAUUUUGGAUAGAUCAUAUUGAUAAAAUUGUUUGCGACCUCGAUGUUGAAUUAAAAUAAAAUUUAGAUGGAGAAGUUAAGUUUUUAGUCUGUUCGACUAUUAAAAUUUUAC
This 456-nucleotide ribosomal RNA is filed under the name Pseudopolybia aff. compressa morph2 MDS-2020. RNAcentral describes it as "partial large subunit ribosomal RNA". The stretch from base 332 to 456 matches the Rfam family "Bacterial large subunit ribosomal RNA", at positions 2473 to 2599 of the family's 2925-position model. The record is from RNAcentral. Lineage: Eukaryota; Metazoa; Arthropoda; Insecta; Hymenoptera; Vespidae.